Molecule: transfer RNA, 75 nt
Filed under: Planctomycetota bacterium
Lineage: Bacteria; Pseudomonadati; Planctomycetota
Also listed under: 1 other name
Description: Planctomycetes bacterium tRNA-Pro
Rfam family: tRNA
About the family: Transfer RNA (tRNA) molecules are approximately 80 nucleotides in length. Their secondary structure includes four short double-helical elements and three loops (D, anti-codon, and T loops).
Source: RNAcentral
CGGGCUGUAGCGCAGUCUGGCUAGCGCGCCUGCUUGGGGUGUAGGAGGUCGUGGGUUCAAAUCCCGCCAGCCCGA